UAAUUAUGCAAAUUAUAUAUCCUCUAUUUCUAUGCAAAAAUUUAUAUUUAAAAAAUGACAAUACAAGUGAAUGUGGAUGUAGCUAAUGAUACGGAAUUUAUUUAUUUUGAGAUGAAUGAAUAAAAUAUUCUCCUUAUACUAAAUUGGCCCGUGUCAGCCAAGUACAAUCUAUCAUCACUAAGUGAUUGAUAAUUUGGGAGGAAAAAAAAAAUGAGAAUUUAAUAAGAUAAACUUAUCCUGUAACCGUCAUACACGACCUGAAAUAUUUCCACAAAAUAAAACAAUACUCUAAUGAAUACUUCAAUUAAUUCGAGAAAUUCAUUGAUAUUGAAAAAUCUUGAUGUACCCCCAAUAACCCUGUAAAUUUUUCAAUUGAUGUAUCGAACCGUUUUUUUCGGGGUGAUUAAUUAAAGUUUUGCAAAAGAAUUGAAGGAACGAGUUUUGUUUCUUAAAAAAAGUAAUCAUCAUCAAAAUAAAAAAAUUAUUUGUUUUGGACUUUUCUUAUAUUUUUACGUCGGUUACUCAGUAAAUGUGAAGAAAAGAGAAAAAAAAAUCUGUGUACCGGUAAACCCUGCAGACCAGCCCCAAAACUUCCCACUGUUUUUGAGCUCCUUGAGCUCGAAAACAUAAUUACUUGAAAAUAUUUCGGCUCUUCGAACUCAAAAAACUAUUAGACCGUCAAAAACAUGCAUUUCUCGCGUGGCUCUGAUGAAAACUUUAUUUUUGAAAAUUGGACCGAAACCAAUAAUUUUC
This is a long non-coding RNA of Microplitis demolitor, 753 nucleotides long. RefSeq lists it as uncharacterized. The transcript has 3 exons. Lineage: Eukaryota; Metazoa; Arthropoda; Insecta; Hymenoptera; Braconidae. The record is from RefSeq and is a predicted model, not a curated record.